This 117-nucleotide non-coding RNA is filed under the name Nomascus leucogenys (northern white-cheeked gibbon). The record is from Rfam by way of RNAcentral. Lineage: Eukaryota; Metazoa; Chordata; Mammalia; Primates; Hylobatidae.
GCUGGGCGAGGUGGCUCACGCCUGUAAUCCCAGCACUUUGGGAGGCUGAGGCAGGCGGUUCACUUGAGGCCAGGAGCUCAAGACCAGCCUGGCCAACAUGGUGAAACCCUGUCUCUA